GUGAAUCAUCAAAUUUUUGAACGCAAAUUGCACUCCCUGGCAUUCCGGAGAGUAUGCCUGUUUGAGGGUCAGUUUAAAUAAAAAUCGGUGUGGUUGCUGCCUUUUGUGGUGACGGACGGGAUUUGGGUCGUCAUGUCUUUGGUUAAGUGACCUAAAAUUUUGCAUGAUUUUUUCGUACGUAUCUAACUGAUUUUUUGUAUGUUUGCGA
This 208-nucleotide unclassified non-coding RNA is filed under the name Glomeraceae sp. RNAcentral's name for it is "partial contains 5.8S ribosomal RNA and internal transcribed spacer 2". The stretch from base 1 to 71 matches the Rfam family "5.8S ribosomal RNA", at positions 84 to 154 of the family's 154-position model. Lineage: Eukaryota; Fungi; Glomeromycota; Glomeromycetes; Glomerales; Glomeraceae. The record is from RNAcentral.